This 301-nucleotide ribosomal RNA is filed under the name uncultured bacterium. RNAcentral describes it as "partial 16S ribosomal RNA". It matches the Rfam family "Bacterial small subunit ribosomal RNA", at positions 509 to 807 of the family's 1533-position model. The record is from RNAcentral.
CAGUCGCCGCGGUAAUACGAAGGGUGCAAGCGUUAAUCGGAAUUACUGGGCGUAAAGCGUGCGCAGGCGGUUUGUUAAGACAGAUGUGAAAUCCCCGGGCUCAACCUGGGAACUGCAUUUGUGACUGGCAAGCUAGAGUGUGGCAGAGGGGGGUGGAAUUCCGCGUGUAGCAGUGAAAUGCGUAGAUAUGCGGAGGAACACCGAUGGCGAAGGCAGCCCCCUGGGCCAACACUGACGCUCACGCACGAAAGCGUGGGGAGCAAACAGGAUUAGAGACCCCCGUAGUCCCUGUCUCUUAUAC